This is a long non-coding RNA of Thalassophryne amazonica, 114 nucleotides long. RefSeq lists it as uncharacterized. The record is from RefSeq and is a predicted model, not a curated record. The transcript has 3 exons. Lineage: Eukaryota; Metazoa; Chordata; Actinopteri; Batrachoidiformes; Batrachoididae.
AAACCUUCAAAUAGGGAAGGGUGAUAAUUCUAAAGUUCAUUUUUUUGCACAGAAUUAUGUUAUCUAUACCUAUUUAGGCAAUGAGUCACCAUCAGUUUAUUGUUUCCAAAAACC